RNAcentral lists this ribosomal RNA (91 nucleotides) under Holdemanella biformis. RNAcentral also lists the same sequence under 3 other names. Lineage: Bacteria; Bacillati; Bacillota; Erysipelotrichia; Erysipelotrichales; Erysipelotrichaceae. The record is from RNAcentral.
CACACCUGAACUCAUCCCGAACUCAGAAGUUAAGCACUUUCACGGCGACAAUAGUUGGGCUUGCCCCUGCGAAGAUAGCUAGCUGCCGGGU